UACGGAAGGCAGCAGUGGGGAAUAUUGCACAAUGGGCGCAAGCCUGAUGCAGCCAUGCCGCGUGUAUGAAGAAGGCCUUCGGGUUGUAAAGUACUUUCAGUCGUGAGGAAGGUGUUAAGGUUAAUAACCUUAGCAAUUGACGUUAGCGACAGAAGAAGCACCGGCUAACUCCGUGCCAGCAGCCGCGGUAAUACGGAGGGUGCGAGCGUUAAUCGGAAUUACUGGGCGUAAAGGGCACGCAGGCGGUUAAUUAAGUUGGAUGUGAAAUCCCCGGGCUUAACCUGGGAAUGGCAUUCAAGACUGGUUAGCUAGAGUCUUGUAGAGGGGGUUAGAAUUCCAUGUGUAGCGGUGAAAUGCGUAGAGAUGUGGAGGAAUACCGGUGGCGAAGGCGGCCCCCUGGACAAAGACUGACGCUCAUGUGCGAAAGCGUGGGGAGCAAAC
Molecule: ribosomal RNA, 441 nt
Filed under: uncultured bacterium
Lineage: Bacteria
Description: bacterial SSU rRNA
Rfam family: Bacterial small subunit ribosomal RNA
Source: RNAcentral